AUACGUAGGGGGCGAGCGUUGUCCGGAAUUAUUGGGCGUAAAGCGCGCGCAGGCGGUCCACUAAGUCUGAUGUGAAAGCCCCCGUCUUAACCGGGGAGGGUCAUUGGAAACUGGUGGACUUGAGUGCAGGAGAGGAGAGUGGAAUUCCACGUGUAGCGGUGAAAUGCGUAGAGAUGUGGAGGAACACCAGUGGCGAAGGCGGGUCUCUGGCCUGUAACUGACGCUGAGGCGCGAAAGCGUGGGGAGCAAACAGGAUUAGAUACCCUGGUAGUCCACGCCGUAAACGAUGAGUGCUAGGUGUUGGGGGGAGCAAUCUCCUCAGUGCUGAAGUUAACACAUUAAGCACUCCGCCUGGGGAGUACGGCCGCAAGGCUGAA
RNAcentral lists this ribosomal RNA (377 nucleotides) under uncultured bacterium. RNAcentral describes it as "bacterial SSU rRNA". It matches the Rfam family "Bacterial small subunit ribosomal RNA", at positions 523 to 898 of the family's 1533-position model. The record is from RNAcentral.